RNAcentral lists this ribosomal RNA (439 nucleotides) under uncultured bacterium. Its description in RNAcentral is "partial 16S ribosomal RNA". It matches the Rfam family "Bacterial small subunit ribosomal RNA", at positions 339 to 795 of the family's 1533-position model. The record is from RNAcentral.
CUACGGGUUGCUCCAGUGGGGAAUAUUGCACAAUGGACGAAAGUCUGAUGCAGCAACGCCGCGUGGAGGAUGACACAUUUCGGUGCGUAAACUCCUUUUAUAUAGGAAGAUAAUGACGGUACUAUAUGAAUAAGCACCGGCUAACUCCGUGCCAGCAGCCGCGGUAAUACGGAGGGUGCAAGCGUUACUCGGAAUUACUGGGCGUAAAGAGCGUGUAGGCGGGUUUGUAAGUUGGAUGUGAAAUCCUAUGGCUCAACCAUAGAACUGCAUCCAAAACUGCUUACCUAGAAUAUGGGAGAGGUAGAUGGAAUUUCUGGUGUAGGGGUAAAAUCCGUAGAGAUCAGAAGGAAUACCGAUUGCGAAGGCGAUCUACUGGAACAUUAUUGACGCUGAGACGCGAAAGCGUGGGGAGCAAACAGGAUUAGAUACCCGCGUAGUC